CGUAAGUAAGUAAGAUCCCUGAAAGAUGAUCAGGUAGAUAGGAUGGAAGUGGAAGUGCUGUGAGGCAUGGAGCGGACCAUUACUAAUCGAUCGAGGACUUAACCAAG
RNAcentral lists this ribosomal RNA (107 nucleotides) under Ligilactobacillus salivarius. RNAcentral's name for it is "partial 23S ribosomal RNA". It matches the Rfam family "Bacterial large subunit ribosomal RNA", at positions 2819 to 2925 of the family's 2925-position model. The record is from RNAcentral. Lineage: Bacteria; Bacillati; Bacillota; Bacilli; Lactobacillales; Lactobacillaceae.